Chelonoidis abingdonii (Abingdon island giant tortoise) is the source of this 121-nucleotide ribosomal RNA. The record is from Ensembl. NCBI's taxonomy places the organism in Eukaryota, Metazoa, Chordata, Testudines, Testudinidae.
GCUUGCAGCUAUACCACUUUGGACUGUGAUCUUGACACCAAUGUCCAAUCACAUAAGCAGGUGCAGGCCUGGUCAGUACUUGGACAGGAGACCUCCAAGGAAAAUUCAAGUGCUACAGGAA